AAAGUUUACAAGGGAGGUUCGAGACUUGUGGACGGUAUCGUCUGUGGCUAUACAACCCAGACCCAACCCUGAUCUUAUUAGAUCUUAUAAGACUGGCGCUUUCCCGUACGGCCAGUAACAUCAAACAAUCGAACGGGGUCAACUUCGAACCUCCAUUUUGCUCAUUGAAUUAAAGGGGUUUCUGAAAAAGUUCUCGGUCCACCACAUUUCAAAGGAUAAUAAUUACAUAAAAAUAUUAUCCUUUGUUUU
RNAcentral lists this non-coding RNA (249 nucleotides) under Ancistrocerus nigricornis. The record is from RNAcentral. Lineage: Eukaryota; Metazoa; Arthropoda; Insecta; Hymenoptera; Vespidae.